Molecule: long non-coding RNA, 204 nt
Organism: Choloepus didactylus (southern two-toed sloth)
Lineage: Eukaryota; Metazoa; Chordata; Mammalia; Pilosa; Megalonychidae
Exons: 3
Source: RefSeq, a predicted model, not a curated record
CUGUGUUCUUUCUAUUCCAUCCACUCAACUGUACAUUCGGGAAAGAUGGCGCUUCCUGUGUGGGAAAUGGCUUGGGUUCCUCCUCUCAAAAGGCAACAGCAAAUUCACGAGACGACAUCGUUAAUUGCCAUAAAAAGCUUGGUUCCGUGGGAUGAGUUCUCUGCCUGGCUGCUCAACCCCCACACUGCCACAUGGCCAAGUCCC